RNAcentral lists this transfer RNA (76 nucleotides) under Candidatus Woesearchaeota archaeon. RNAcentral's name for it is "tRNA-Ile". It matches the Rfam family "tRNA". Rfam says of the family: Transfer RNA (tRNA) molecules are approximately 80 nucleotides in length. Their secondary structure includes four short double-helical elements and three loops (D, anti-codon, and T loops). Lineage: Archaea; Nanobdellati; Candidatus Woesearchaeota. The record is from RNAcentral.
GAGCCUGUAGCUCAGCCUGGUUUAGAGUGCUGGUCUUAUAAGCCAGUGGUCCCGAGUUCAAAUCUCGGCAGGCUCA